AUUGAACGCUGGCGGCAUGCUUUACACAUGCAAGUCGAACGGCAGCGCGGGCUUCGGCCUGGCGGCGAGUGGCGAACGGGUGAGUAAUACAUCGGAACGUGCCCGGUAGUGGGGGAUAGCUCGGCGAAAGCCGGAUUAAUACCGCAUACGACCCGAGGGUGAAAGCGGGGGAUCUUCGGACCUCGCGCUAUUGGAGCGGCCGAUGGCAGAUUAGCUAGUUGGUGGGGUAAAGGCCUACCAAGGCGACGAUCUGUAGCUGGUCUGAGAGGACGACCAGCCACACUGGGACUGAGACACGGCCCAGACUCCUACGGGAGGCAGCAGUGGGGAAUUUUGGACAAUGGGCGAAAGCCUGAUCCAGCAAUGCCGCGUGUGUGAUGAAGGCCUUCGGGUUGUAAAGCACUUUUGGCGGGAACGAAAAGGACUGUGCCAAUACCACGGUUCGAUGACGGUACCCGCAGAAUAAGCACCGGCUAACUACGUG
This 484-nucleotide ribosomal RNA is filed under the name uncultured bacterium. RNAcentral's name for it is "partial 16S ribosomal RNA". It matches the Rfam family "Bacterial small subunit ribosomal RNA", at positions 29 to 507 of the family's 1533-position model. The record is from RNAcentral.